This is a long non-coding RNA of Dermacentor silvarum, 1254 nucleotides long. RefSeq lists it as uncharacterized. The transcript has 3 exons. The record is from RefSeq and is a predicted model, not a curated record. NCBI's taxonomy places the organism in Eukaryota, Metazoa, Arthropoda, Arachnida, Ixodida, Ixodidae.
GAGUUACUCAUGGGGGUCAUGGUGCACUCUUCAAGAAUUCUCAUGGAGAAACUCUAAAAAAUAAUGCUACUCAGUACGAGGCUCACGACUACAUUGCUGUUUCUGUCUAUCAUAAACUUGAUAGGCAACACUUCAGCAUGCUAUACUUAGUACAAAAUUAACACUCGUACCCAUGAGUAACAAAUAGUUGUUUUACUUACACGCAAUGCAAUGUAAAAACUAGCUUCUUUCCGAUUGGAAGUUCAGCGAUGUUGAUGGUUUCUUGUUUUCAUGGUUAUAUGGGACGGAAUGAUUGCCCAUUAACGGCGUGUUACAAUUUGCAUGCCUCCCACAUCGCAUAAAACAUACUCCUUACGCUGCCAUCAUGUCGCGGCUUUCCAGUGUUUGACAUGGCUUGGGUGAAACUGAGUGAGGUGUAUAACAAAGAUCUAUGACGGUUGUGUAUCUUUCACGAGAGUAUCAGAGCAAUCCCGCAACUUAUACAUUGUCUACUACUACAGUAUUUUACAUUCAUAAAAUAUUCUAUGAAAACGCCUCACUUGACAUUGUUGUAUUGCAAAAAAGUGCAUUCUUGAUUAAACAAAAUCAUCAUAAUAAACGAAAUAUUCCACAGAAGGACAAAAGAAAACUCUAACCCGAAAAACUAGAGGUGUGCGAAUAUAAAAUUUUCGGAUAUGAAUCGAAUACGAAUAGCAUGUAUAGAAUAGCGAAUCGAACAGUCAAAUGUCGACGCAUGUAUUUAUUGCAUGAAUACUUGUUUUAGUAUAGUUAGGCACCACGCUUUUAUGGACUAGUGAAAAAACGUCAGCCAGAUAUCACGGUCAAUUAAAAUCGGUUUUAAACACAAGAUUCUUAAUUGUCAAUGAAACAACUGCAGGAAUAGCCUCUCAACAUGGCUGUUUGCAAACAUGCUUUCCGCGAAUGAAUGGCUGCUUCAUGACUAGCUUGCUGAAAACACUAAAGGAGUGGUUGUCAAGUUAUCACAAGUUGUGGCAAAAGAAAAGAUGAAGUGCUGAAGGACUACUCUGCCAUAGACACAUUGAUCUGUGGACCGCAGCUACUCAUGUGUGUUGCCUACACGCCUUCGACUGCUACCUGAAGUGGCACGUUCAAAUGCUGCUGUGAAGUGAAAUAUGGCGUGUUUUUCUAGUGUCCGCCCGGAAAGCCGCCGGCUAACUCUCCACCGAGGCCGCCUCCAGGAACCAGUCCACCGGGCCGACCCUCCGAGAAGUCUCCGGGUACCCGUCGAAUGCC